GGGUGACGUCACUGGUGACGCGCCACUUCACUGAGUCAGGGUCGCCACACAGCGCAAUCCUCCCACCCGCCACCACCAGCCUUCCAUUCUUACACCAUCUAACGAAACUAGUUUGUGGCAGCGACGUACUCGAUCACAUAUAAGGCGGCUCCCACUACUUACCAGACACAGUACAACUCCGACACCAGAUCAGUGAUGGCUGUGUCGCAGAGCUGUGUGGUGGUGAGGCGUGAGGGAGGCUCCCUUGACGGGUCCUGCCCCUGGUGACUGCAACCUACGCCUCACCAGGGGCAGGACACAUUGCUCCUCUACUCAGACUGAUCUGCCCAGGCGACACAUGGCGAGGACCUCCUGUACUGUUGCUGCUGGUGACUCAAACUGACUCACCUCACGACGCACACAACGGCGUGAGGUGUUCCAACUACCACUAUGAUGUGACCACAGAGGCUACUACACCUGUAGUACAGCACCAACACCCGUGGUACACCACCUUCACCCGUGGUACAGCACCUCCACCCGUGGUACAACACCACCACCUGUGGUACAACACCUCUACCCGCCACAGUCCACACGGGUGGUGCAGGAGUCAUGGGUGUUGUAGGUCCUGCGGCAGGUCUCCAACACCCCUGAAACACAGCAGGACUCCACCUCCUGCUCGACUCAGCGGCUCCAGGCAGCCUCCAUCAGGAGGUCCUGACGACUCAGGACUUGUCAACGAACCAUUUUACCUCACCUCACCUUGUGUUGUUGACACUGCAGUAUUGUAUUACAGCAAUAUGUAAAACUAAUCAUUUAUUGUCUAUCAUUCCCACAAUUCAUCAGAAUAUUGUAAUAUCACAUCAUCACUUGUCUAGGGUGUUCAUACAUUACCAUAAAAGUAAACAAAGUUUU
Homarus americanus (American lobster) is the source of this 891-nucleotide long non-coding RNA. RefSeq lists it as uncharacterized. The record is from RefSeq and is a predicted model, not a curated record. The transcript is spliced from 2 exons. Lineage: Eukaryota; Metazoa; Arthropoda; Malacostraca; Decapoda; Nephropidae.